CCUGGCUCAGAACGAACGCUGGCGGCAGGCUUAACACAUGCAAGUCGAGCGCCCCGCAAGGGGAGCGGCAGACGGGUGAGUAACGCGUGGGAAUCUACCCUUGACUACGGAAUAACGCAGGGAAACUUGUGCUAAUACCGUAURUGUCCUUCGGGAGAAAGAUUUAUCGGUCAAGGAUGAGCCCGCGUUGGAUUAGCUAGUUGGUGGGGUAAAGGCCUACCAAGGCGACGAUCCAUAGCUGGUCUGAGAGGAUGAUCAGCCACAUUGGGACUGAGACACGGCCCAAACUCCUACGGGAGGCAGCAGUGGGGAAUAUUGGACAAUGGGCGCAAGCCUGAUCCAGCCAUGCCGCGUGAGUGAUGAAGGCCCUAGGGUUGUAAAGCUCUUUCACCGGAGAAGAUAAUGACGGU
This 410-nucleotide ribosomal RNA is filed under the name Rhizobium sp. R-45621. Its description in RNAcentral is "bacterial SSU rRNA". It matches the Rfam family "Bacterial small subunit ribosomal RNA", at positions 18 to 458 of the family's 1533-position model. Lineage: Bacteria; Pseudomonadati; Pseudomonadota; Alphaproteobacteria; Hyphomicrobiales; Rhizobiaceae. The record is from RNAcentral.